CACCGCCUCCGCCUCCGCCGCCGCCUCCGCCUCCUGCUGAAGCCCCCCCUGUUAAAAAGGCCAGUUCAAAGAAACUGUCUGCAAANGAAGGGACACCUUCUGAAUCCAGUCCACCCAAGUCAUCAGGAGAAGAGGAAGGAGAGUCUGGCUCCAAGAAACCUAGUUCAGGUGAAGAAGGCACAGAAGCGGGGACCGAAGCCGGGACCGAAGAGGAAUGAUGACUGGUUCUUUUGUGAAUACUGCUGUAUAUUAUCUAGAGCAUUUUAUAAAGUACAAUUGUUGUGUAUACAGAAUAUUAUUAAUAAACAUAUCCC
This 314-nucleotide long non-coding RNA is filed under the name Salvator merianae (Argentine black and white tegu). RNAcentral describes it as "lncRNA (ENSSMRG00000007777.1)". Lineage: Eukaryota; Metazoa; Chordata; Lepidosauria; Squamata; Teiidae. The record is from RNAcentral.